RNAcentral lists this transfer RNA (72 nucleotides) under Salmo salar (Atlantic salmon). It matches the Rfam family "tRNA". Rfam says of the family: Transfer RNA (tRNA) molecules are approximately 80 nucleotides in length. Their secondary structure includes four short double-helical elements and three loops (D, anti-codon, and T loops). Further hydrogen bonds mediate the characteristic L-shaped molecular structure. tRNAs have two regions of fundamental functional importance: the anti-codon, which is responsible for specific mRNA codon recognition, and the 3' end, to which the tRNAs corresponding amino acid is attached (by aminoacyl-tRNA synthetases). tRNAs cope with the degeneracy of the genetic code in two manners: having more than one tRNA (with a specific anti-codon) for a particular amino acid; and 'wobble' base-pairing, i.e. permitting non-standard base-pairing at the 3rd anti-codon position. Lineage: Eukaryota; Metazoa; Chordata; Actinopteri; Salmoniformes; Salmonidae. The record is from Rfam by way of RNAcentral.
UCCCGUGUAGCUCAGUUGGUAGAGCAUGGUGUAUGCAACGCCAGGGUUGUGGGUUCAAUUCCCACAGGGGAC